Molecule: long non-coding RNA, 347 nt
Organism: Eucalyptus grandis
Lineage: Eukaryota; Viridiplantae; Streptophyta; Magnoliopsida; Myrtales; Myrtaceae
Exons: 3
Source: RefSeq, a predicted model, not a curated record
GCUGGGUCGAGCAACGGCGCUUCGGAGACUGACCCUUUUUGUCCUCACGAUACCACUCUACUACGUCAAUGCCCCUCCUCACAUGGGCACUGGGCAGCGCCUACACCACCAUUGCUGCUAAUGCCAUCGCUCGCUAUGAGUGUCAUUGAAGCUCUCAAGGUGGAUAGUUUGCAGAAACUUUGCUCAUUAUUGGAGCCCAUACUUCGGCGUGUGGUUAGUGAACAAGUGGAGCGAGCUUUAGCAAAAUUGGGCCCCUUCAAAAUUACUAGGAGCGUUUAGGGUGAGCGACCAUGGACCUGAAUUCAAUAGCAAUUUCUCUUGAUGAUUGAAUGUCGUCUUUAAGCUCG